Molecule: long non-coding RNA, 3129 nt
Filed under: Scophthalmus maximus (turbot)
Lineage: Eukaryota; Metazoa; Chordata; Actinopteri; Pleuronectiformes; Scophthalmidae
Description: lncRNA (ENSSMAG00000024356.1)
Source: RNAcentral
AUGGCACAAGAGAUGGAGCUUUCUGACAACAUCUAUACAAAUGAGCUUCAGGGAACUGAGAAGAGCAGUGGUAAGACCGAACCGCCAGAGAGAAGACUCUUCAGAAUUGGAGUUGUAACUUUGGCAGUGUUGUGUCUAAUACAGGCGAGUCUCAACAUCUCGCUGCGCCUUGCUCUGUAUAUAAAAGAAGACUCCGAUCAGCUUCCGUUCAAUUCCUCCACAAUAGCAGACAUGUGCCAGAUUCCACCGUCGAAACAGGAUGAAUGUUCCUGCUGCAACAAGCUGCUGAGAAGACUGCUGAGGGAAUAUGAAGCCAUGGAAAAAGAGAGAGACCUCUUAAAGGUCAUUGUCAGUUAUCUGUCUAAAAACAGGGUUACAGAUGAAGACUACACACACUCUGGCUCUGUUUCAGUGGAUGAAUUCCUCAAUCUGGAGAGAAACUGAAGCUGAAGUUGAAAACCUUUGACCACCCUGAAGAAGCAGCACUGCUCAGAGAGGGCAUUUCAGUAAAGUGUAGUUCUUCAAUCUGUAAAUUUAAUUAUUGUACAUUAUACAUAUGCCGUGGCAUUUAAGUGGUUACACACUCCUGGUUAAUAGUGACAAAAUGAAGAUCAUCACCCAACUCUGCAGUUCCCCUCAGCUCUAUGCGGCGUGUUGCUGUUACAAAGGAACUUCCCCCCUUGGGAUAAAUUAAGUAACUAUCUAUCUAUGUACCUAAAAUCAGGAUCUCAUUUUGCAAAUCUGUUGUUUGUAACAGUGAAAUGUGGUUUUAACAUUAAAAUCAUUCUGUAAGUGUAAAUGUUCCGUCUUGAUGCACUAACACAGACAGUAACACAGACACUUUUAGUUUUUUCCUUCAUCAGUUAUUUUAACCAUGUCUAAAAACUUUCUUGAGAUUCUAAGUGUUUUCUUAGCUGAUAAGUUUGUCAAAGGUAACCUGUCAGAAAUGAGAGCUGCAGGACAUUCACUCAUCAUUUCUCAUUAGCACGGCUGGCUUUGUUUUAAUUAGACGCUGUGACUGACACUUGUGUUCCAGUGACACUUCAUUCCAGGCCCGAGUAAUCCUCCUUCCCAGCUGUUGUUUGCCAAUCAUCCCAAAGUUGUCUGUUGUCUCUAUUUGUCAGAAUAGAACCACUCGCUGUUUGGUGGCAGCGAGAAAUAAAUGUUUGAUUUUCUUCUUUUUUAGCUUAAUGACUUUGCCGCACAGAAAAUAAAUGUAUGUGUCCGCGAAAGGAAUGAAAGGUUUGUCUUUAUAUAAAUUAAAACAUUGGUAAAGUUUGUAUUUCAAUAUAUAACAAACAAUAAAUUCAGCCGGUCAGCUUUCAGCCGUUUUUUCUAAAUAACUUAAGUGAAACAUUGUAUCAAAAUCAUAUCUGAUAAAGUUCUUUACAACCAAACACCUGAAGUAUAUGUGGUGCUAAAAUAAGACAUACUUGCAGCGACAAACACCAUGAAAACACAAGACUAAAAAAUAUUAAGUACCCUUGGGUAGUGCAAACAUAUCCAUAUCAAAUACCAACUAGUUCAAAAGAAAAAGGUUACCAUGGUAAUAGCAAGUGCAGUUUAAAAUAAAAGGAGAGAUUUCAUUGGAAAUGACUAGUGGCUAUAAAAUGAUGUGAUGCAUUGCAUUGGCUGUAUAUGUCAUUCAUUGGAUGCAUCAGUCAUUGGACAGAGAGGGAGACAGUCACAGGUUCAUUAAUAGGAUGUCCUUUUUUUAAAUUCGUUUUGAGAGUUCCUGUUGUGCCUGGAUUCUUCCUGUGCAGGCUUCCUGAGUUUGAAUUACUCACUGUGGUCUUGGGUUGGAAGCUGCAUCUUCUGUUCUCCCUACAGAUGUUUAGUAAAGGGAAUCAAAUGUGCCCUGGCCCUAAUCUGGCUGAGUGAAGCAAACUUGACACAUGUUAUUGAUAUUGUACAUUUUAAUGUCUCCAGCUAACGGUUUUCAGUUUAUAACAUGAAACCUAAACCAUGUUAAUGAGUGAUUUAUUAUUAUUUAAGUUUUUUGUGAUCAAAUGUCUCUGUGCUGGACUGUUAAGUACAAUUAGAGUCAUAAUUAGUGAGACAUUAAAAUCAAAUGUACAGUUGUAUAUAGGGCUACAUAGGGUUGUAAAGAUUCAUAUUCAGAUAUUGAGUUGUAUUAAUAUGUCCGCGCACAUAUACGCCUGUACACAUUACAGAGAGUACCGUACUGUCUUACACCUGCCUCAGCAAAAAAAGCUUACAUAUUCUUGUCCCACCAACCACUUCUUCCUUCAAUGCGAGAAAAGUUAAACUAAAAUAACUGCCAUUUAUAAAAAAAAAAGUACAUUUGGAGGAAGUAGAGCUUGACAAAUGAUACUGUCUUUGCAUCACUUUUUACCUUAAAUAGUUUAGGGGCAUUUUGAUUUGCAUUUUUGAUUCCUUAUUUGUUUGUACAGCACACGUGAGGCUUGUGCACUCCUAAAACUGUUUUAGGAGUUUCGUCCUCAAGGACAAUGAUGUCACAGAAACACAAAAGGAGAAGGCCCCCUCCAGACGGAGACCCACACUCAUCUGCAGGGGACGACACAAGUGCAGUGCCUAAGUAUAAACAGAGGCCAUGACAGAUUUCAGAGUGCGCUCCUGUGCAAACACAGCAGGCCGACUGUUAGCCACUGCCAUGCUGUCCAAGUCCCUCUGAGGGCGGAGGAAUCGCAGGCAGAUGGUCAAGUAUUCGGGAAUGACGCGUGACAGUCCUAAUUUAAAUACUGAUGACGGGAUUGUGCAUAUCCUUGUGUGCACAGUGCAUGCACAAGCCUCGCGUGUGCUGUACAAACAAAUAAGACUCUGGCUGGCAACAUAUCAGAGAUAUAAAAAAAAGCCAUAUCAAACACACAGCAGAGCUAGUUGUGCAAAAGAUAAGGUGCAGAGGGGAGGGGACAACUCUCAUCAUUACAUAAUAGCUAUAAAGAAAGUCUGAUGACAACAAUUCCAUGUCAGUUACUUUAACCAUAGAGGUGCCGCACAAGUUUGAACGAAUGUGAUAUGACACUCAAUUCAGUCGAAUGUAUUCGAAUGUAUGAACUCUUCACUCCAAUGAAUGUUCGAAUUUGGAAUAAAAAAUUAACAGCCCAAUAAAUCCUUAAGUCAGACUAUAUGCUGAAAGAUCAGGCU